This 253-nucleotide ribosomal RNA is filed under the name uncultured bacterium. Its description in RNAcentral is "partial 16S ribosomal RNA". It matches the Rfam family "Bacterial small subunit ribosomal RNA", at positions 524 to 776 of the family's 1533-position model. The record is from RNAcentral.
UACGAAGGGUGCAAGCGUUGUUCGGAAUUACUGGGCGUAAAGGGUUCGUAGGCGGGCCUCUAAGUCACGUGUGAAAUCCCCAAGCUUAACUUGGGACGUGCACGUGAAACUGGAGAUCUUGAAUACUAGAGAGGGUGGUGGAAUUGCUGGUGUAGGAGUGACAUCCGUAGAGAUCAGCAGGAACACCGGAGGCGAAGGCGACCACCUGGCUAGAUAUUGACGCUGAGGAACGAAAGCGUGGGGAGCAAACAGG